This is an RNA transcript of Terrapene triunguis (Three-toed box turtle), 479 nucleotides long. It is a transcript of the gene named SREK1 interacting protein 1, with no coding region annotated. Lineage: Eukaryota; Metazoa; Chordata; Testudines; Emydidae. The transcript has 5 exons. The record is from RefSeq and is a predicted model, not a curated record.
CCCUCCUCGCCCUGUCUAAUGGUGCGGCCCGGAGUGCGCCGCCCAAAGGCCUCCGGCCGGGAAGCGCCACCGCCUGUGUUCGACUCGGCUGGGGAAGAGGCUGCAGGGCCCUUGGCUCCAUGGCGUUGCCAGGUGGAAAUAAGGAUAAUAUCAGGGCAGGAUGCAAGAAGUGUGGCUAUCCUGGUCAUCUGACAUUUGAAUGCAGAAACUUUCUCCGGGUGGACCCCAAAAGAGACAUUGUUUUAGACGUUAGCAGUACGAGCAGUGAAGACAGCGAGGAAGAGGAGCUGGGGAAACUGCAGGCCUUACCAGAGAAAAAGAUUCCUGCUGCUUGUUCCACUAAACCUCAAAAGUCAUUUUGACAGAAAAGAAUGAUGGUCACACAUGAUUUUAAUUGGAUGGACAAAUUCAGCAUUAAAAGAUACAAGUCAGGAGGAGGAAAAGAAGAAUCUAAAAAGAAUAAGCAAAGAAAAAUCCAA